UAAGGAAUAUUGGACAAUGGACGCAAGUCUGAUCCAGCCAUGCCGCGUGAAGGAUGACUGCCCUCUGGGUUGUAAACUUCUUUUAUAGGGGAAGAAAGUUAUUUUUUAGGAUAUUUGACGGUACCCUAUGAAUAAGCACCGGCUAACUCCGUGCCAGCAGCCGCGGUAAUACGGAGGGUGCAAGCGUUAUCCGGAUUCACUGGGUUUAAAGGGUGCGUAGGCGGGUAUGUAAGUCAGUGGUGAAAUACCGGAGCUUAACUUCGGAACUGCCAUUGAUACUAUAUAUCUUGAAUAUUGUGGAGGUAAGCGGAAUAUGUCAUGUAGCGGUGAAAUGCUUAGAGAUGACAUAGAACACCGAUUGCGAAGGCAGCUUGCUACGCAAAUAUUGACGCUGAGGCACGAAAGCGUGGGGAUCAAACAGGAUUAGAUACCCUGGUAGUCCACGCCCUAAACGAUGAUUACUCGACAUUAGCGAUACACAGUUAGUGUCUGAGCGAAAGCAUUAAGUAAUCCACCUGGGAAGUACGACCGCAAGGUUGAAACUCAAAGGAAUUGACGGGGUCAUAGCUGUUUCCAG
Molecule: ribosomal RNA, 577 nt
Filed under: uncultured bacterium
Lineage: Bacteria
Description: partial 16S ribosomal RNA
Rfam family: Bacterial small subunit ribosomal RNA
Source: RNAcentral